RNAcentral lists this long non-coding RNA (238 nucleotides) under Lepisosteus oculatus (spotted gar). RNAcentral's name for it is "lncRNA (ENSLOCG00000023219.1)". Lineage: Eukaryota; Metazoa; Chordata; Actinopteri; Semionotiformes; Lepisosteidae. The record is from RNAcentral.
UCCCCGUCUGCGUGAGGAGCAGAAGCAGAAAGGGAAUUAAACAAAUUCCAGAUAAACAGAAGGAUCAUCUUCUAAACCUGCUGGCGCACUGACCUGUGAGACAAGUAGAGCCUGCUGUUUUAUUGGGGGUGUUUUCCCACCUGGAUCAUACCGUUUCGGCUGCAGUGUUCUGGAGACGACAAUGGACUGUGAUGACCCCGAGUCUCCGAUGAUGACCUUUACAGGCCAGGCUCCAGAG